UUGGUUUAUCAAGUUAGUGCUGUUGGCAGAAGAGGUACAGUAUAGGCAGAUUCUGUGCAAGCUUCCCCACAUCAUCCUGCCAAUGCACUUUAACCCUGACCUGGAGAGACUACCUUUAGAAGAAGGAUGUUUUUUUUCCCCUCUAUGACUGUU
This 153-nucleotide small RNA is filed under the name Gopherus agassizii (Agassiz's desert tortoise). RNAcentral describes it as "TUC338 (ENSGAGG00000020671.1)". The record is from RNAcentral. Lineage: Eukaryota; Metazoa; Chordata; Testudines; Testudinidae.